UACGGAGGGUGCAAGCGUUAUCCGGAUUUACUGGGUUUAAAGGGUGCGCAGGCGGAUAUGUAAGUCAGUGGUGAAAUCUCUGGGCUUAACCUGGAAAUUGCCGUUGAUACUAUAUAUCUUGAAUGCUGUGGAGGUAAGCGGAAUAUGUCAUGUAGCGGUGAAAUGCUUAGAGAUGACAUAGAACACCUAUUGCGAAGGCAGCUUACUACGCAGAUAUUGACGCUCAUGCACGAAAGCGUGGGGAUCAAACAGG
Molecule: ribosomal RNA, 253 nt
Filed under: uncultured bacterium
Lineage: Bacteria
Description: partial 16S ribosomal RNA
Rfam family: Bacterial small subunit ribosomal RNA
Source: RNAcentral